RNAcentral lists this ribosomal RNA (253 nucleotides) under uncultured bacterium. RNAcentral's name for it is "partial 16S ribosomal RNA". It matches the Rfam family "Bacterial small subunit ribosomal RNA", at positions 524 to 776 of the family's 1533-position model. The record is from RNAcentral.
UACAGAGGGGGCAAGCGUUAUUCGGAAUUAUUGGGCGUAAAGCGCGCGCAGGCGGUCCGGUAAGUCUCCGGUGAAAUCGCCCGGCUCAACUGGGCGGGUGCCGGGGAGACUGGCGGACUUGAGGAGCCUAGAGGCCGGUGGAACUCCCGGUGUAGUGGUGAAAUGCGUAGAGAUCGGGAAGAACACCAGUGGCGAAGGCGGCCGGCUGGGGGUGUCCUGACGCUGAGGCGCGAGAGCGUGGGGAGCAAACCGG